UGCGUAAUCCGAGUAAUCGCUUGCAAGUAUUUGUAAGAGGAAAGUCCGGACUCCAUUGGGCAAAGUGCCAGGUAACGCCUGGGAAGUUUAGGCUCAAGCCUAGAUUGACGACAAGUGCAACAGAAAGUAAACCGCCUAGUUUACUAGGUAAGGGUGAAAGGGUGAGGUAAGAGCUCACCAGACAGUUCAGUAAUGGCUGUGCUAGGUAAACUCCACUCGGAGCAAGAUCAAAUAGGUGUUAAUAUAGUCCGCCCUGACUUAACACGGGUAGAUCGCUUGAGGCUAACAGUGAUGUUAGUCCUAGAUGAAUGAUUACAUAAAACAGAAUCCGGCUUACGGGGUUACAUUUUAA
Molecule: RNase P RNA, 352 nt
Rfam family: Bacterial RNase P class A
About the family: Ribonuclease P (RNase P) is a ubiquitous endoribonuclease, found in archaea, bacteria and eukarya as well as chloroplasts and mitochondria. Its best characterised activity is the generation of mature 5'-ends of tRNAs by cleaving the 5'-leader elements of precursor-tRNAs.